UACGUAGGUGGCGAGCGUUGUCCGGAAUCAUUGGGCGUAAAGCGCGCGUAGGCGGUUUCUUAAGUCUGAUGUGAAAGCCCCCGGCUCAACCGGGGAGGGUCAUUGGAAACUGGGAGACUUGAGUGCAGAAGAGGAGAGUGGAAUUCCAUGUGUAGCGGUGAAAUGCGUAGAUAUAUGGAGGAACACCGGUGGCGAAAGCGGCUCUCUGGUCUGUAACUGACGCUGAGGCUCGAAAGCGUGGGGAGCGAACAGG
This 253-nucleotide ribosomal RNA is filed under the name uncultured bacterium. Its description in RNAcentral is "partial 16S ribosomal RNA". It matches the Rfam family "Bacterial small subunit ribosomal RNA", at positions 524 to 776 of the family's 1533-position model. The record is from RNAcentral.